GAUAGGCGGUUCUAUUUUGUUGAACAUCUGAAAGAGUCGGCUAAGCAAACUUUGGCUACACAUGUAGGACUUCACGGUUGAGUCAGCACCGGCAAACUCAAGUAACAGAUCUGCAACCUUUUCAAGAUAUUCGCGAGCCACGUCAGCAUUCCAUGGUGAUACCAUGUGGGACAAGAGUCCUGAUGACGUGGCACUCCCUGGUCUAGCGUUAAGAACUCCGGAACCCGAGAGUACAGCUGAUGCUGUCUGAGAUGCGACUCCCGAUGUGGAAGCCCCUACCUCGUUGGAUGCCACCACCGUCGUUUUCUUAUUAGCGAAUUUAUGUGUGGUCUUAGUCACCACCUCAGUGUUAGCAUUUUCUCGUCCACGACUCGAAGCCUCUGCAAAUUCAGCCAUCAGGAAAUCUAGACCGUUGGAUUUCUUCUCAUUAGAAGAAUGCAAAAGAGGAAGUAUGCUUUCAUGUUUCUCCAAUCCCGUAAGAUGCCGAACAUACUCAAGCUGACCUGAAAAAUGUCGUGACGGUGGUUCCUUAUCCAACAAACUUAAAAGUGGUCUGACGUUUUCUUGCUGAGCUGUAGCAGAAUGCCCGUUCGAUACAAUAUCCAUAGAUUUUCUAGGCCUGUCAAUAGACAACCUUCCGAAAUUAGAAAGUCUUUGUUUAGGUUCUGCAUCUUGUGAAGGGUCAGUAAAAUCUGGUGAUUUUGAAGUAACUGGAGCUUCAGCACUAGUGUUGCUUGAUUGAUGUUGUUUAUCUGUUUCUAGUGUGAAGAAUCUUGAAUCGGGUGACUGAGAAGAUGAAAGUCUAGAAGACUCUUGAGGAUGAUCGGUUACAGAAUGUUUGACUUUAUGGUAGUCAGAAUGAUCCAAGCCGUUGGUU
This 877-nucleotide long non-coding RNA is filed under the name Helianthus annuus (common sunflower). RNAcentral's name for it is "sRNA HanXRQr2_Chr17g0789061". The record is from RNAcentral. Lineage: Eukaryota; Viridiplantae; Streptophyta; Magnoliopsida; Asterales; Asteraceae.